Molecule: ribosomal RNA, 497 nt
Filed under: uncultured bacterium
Lineage: Bacteria
Description: partial 16S ribosomal RNA
Rfam family: Bacterial small subunit ribosomal RNA
Source: RNAcentral
GACGAACGCUGGCGGCGUGCCUAAUACAUGCAAGUAGAACGCUGAAGAGAGGAGCUUGCUCUUCUUGGAUGAGUUGCGAACGGGUGAGUAACGCGUAGGUAACCUGCCUUGUAGCGGGGGAUAACUAUUGGAAACGAUAGCUAAUACCGCAUAACAAUGGAUGACACAUGUCAUUUAUUUGAAAGGGGCAAUUGCUCCACUACAAGAUGGACCUGCGUUGUAUUAGCUAGUAGGUGAGGUAAUGGCUCACCUAGGCGACGAUACAUAGCCGACCUGAGAGGGUGAUCGGCCACACUGGGACUGAGACACGGCCCAGACUCCUACGGGAGGCAGCAGUAGGGAAUCUUCGGCAAUGGGGGCAACCCUGACCGAGCAACGCCGCGGGAGUGAAGAAGGUUUUCGGAUCGUAAAGCUCGGUUGUAAGUCAGGAACGGGUGUGAGAGUGGAAAGUUCACACUGUGACGGUAGCUUACCAGAAAGGGACGGCUAACUACGUG